RNAcentral lists this long non-coding RNA (229 nucleotides) under Ananas comosus (pineapple). Its description in RNAcentral is "long non-coding RNA (ACOM_LNC017703)". The record is from RNAcentral. Lineage: Eukaryota; Viridiplantae; Streptophyta; Magnoliopsida; Poales; Bromeliaceae.
CUAACAACCGAACUCACGUGCCCUCGGUACAAUCUGAUGCAAAAACAGUAAUCUGGGUCCACCGUCAACCCCAACGGCACUCGACAGUCCGGAACAGUCUAAAUACUGCUGUAAAAAUAAGCUCGGCAUCCCAGCACGAUCGUAAAAUAUUCUACACUAUCCUGGGUAUCCACCGCCCACAAACUGCGGUGAUACAAACAAACUACGGCUCCUAGUGCUAAAUCUGGUA